GUGACCUCAAAUCAGGUAGGACUACCCGCUGAACUUAAGCAUAUCAAUAAGCGGAGGAAAAGAAACUAACAGGAUCCCCUAGUAACUGCGAGUGAAGCGGGAAAAGCUCAAAUUUAAA
RNAcentral lists this ribosomal RNA (118 nucleotides) under uncultured Cortinarius. RNAcentral describes it as "partial 28S ribosomal RNA". It matches the Rfam family "Eukaryotic large subunit ribosomal RNA", at positions 1 to 119 of the family's 3401-position model. The record is from RNAcentral. Lineage: Eukaryota; Fungi; Basidiomycota; Agaricomycetes; Agaricales; Cortinariaceae.